UAGGGAAUCUUCCACAAUGGACGAAAGUCUGAUGGAGCAACGCCGCGUGAGUGAUGAAGGGUUUCGGCUCGUAAAACUCUGUUGUUGGAGAAGAACGGGUGUCAGAGUAACUGUUGACAUCGUGACGGUAUCCAACCAGAAAGCCACGGCUAACUACGUGCCAGCAGCCGCGGUAAUACGUAGGUGGCAAGCGUUGUCCGGAUUUAUUGGGCGUAAAGCGAGCGCAGGCGGUUUUUUAGGUCUGAUGUGAAAGCCUUCGGCUUAACCGGAGAAGUGCAUCGGAAACCGGGAGACUUGAGUGCAGAAGAGGACAGUGGAACUCCAUGUGUAACGGUGAAAUGCGUAGAUAUAUGGAAGAACACCAGUGGCGAAGGCGGCUGUCUGGUCUGCAACUGACGCUGAGGCUCGAAAGCAUGGGUAGCGAACAGGAUUAGAUACCCUGGUAGUCCAUGCCGUAAACGAUGAGUGCUAAGUGUUGGAG
This 481-nucleotide ribosomal RNA is filed under the name uncultured bacterium. RNAcentral describes it as "partial 16S ribosomal RNA". It matches the Rfam family "Bacterial small subunit ribosomal RNA", at positions 355 to 828 of the family's 1533-position model. The record is from RNAcentral.